This is a long non-coding RNA of Bos taurus (domestic cattle), 1068 nucleotides long. NCBI's taxonomy places the organism in Eukaryota, Metazoa, Chordata, Mammalia, Artiodactyla, Bovidae. The record is from Ensembl.
GCCGCCGCCCAGCUCAUUUUCCCUCCUUUGUAACCGAGAGAAGCGCGGCCGGCGGCCGGCGGUGGGGGCGGCGCGGGCGGAGGCGGGGCGGGGGCGGGGGCGGGCCGGGGACGGGGUGCGGGCGCCCGGGCUGGGGGGCGGUCGCCGAGCGCGCGGGGCGCGGGCGGGGAGAAGUUCUCAGCCCCGAGUUUCGGGCGCUCGGGAGAGAAAGCCGCGGCGCGGAUCCGCCAGCCGCCCCGCCCUCAACCCCCUCCCGCCGCCGCCUCGGCCCCGCCUUCCCCCUGGCGCAGGCCCCCGGGGCGCGGGACCCCGGCGCGACCUCGGCCCCCGGCCCGGACCCCACGUUCCCUGCCGCCCUCCCCGGCCCGCUCGCGGCCCCCCCCCCACGGCGGCCGGCCCUGCCCGCGCGGUCCAAGACCCCGGCCGGCGGAGGAACGCGAUCGGGCGAGGCUGGGAGCCGGCUGCCGCCGGGAACCCCGUCUCGCGCUGUGGGGAGGCCCCGAAAGGAAAGGGGUUUUGACAAGGAAACUGUGAAGCGAAAGAACUAAACAGGAAGAUGAAUUCAGAAUGUAUUGCUGCCACUGAGAAGUUACGUGUUGUCCUCAGAAGCAAAGAUGACUCUCCAGCAUCUGUAUGGCAUAUGUAUUUUCAGAGGGAGAAUGGAUCUGUGCCAGUUGUCUCUGGCCUGAAUUAAAGGAGACCGAGGGAUGUAAGUCAGCUGACCUACUUGCAAAUGAUUGCAGAAAGAACAAAGAAGUUGCAAACCCAUUCAAAUGGUGUCAAGGAUAAAUUAGCUCAGAAUAGUUUUGAAGAAAAGAAACUAUCGAGGUCAAAGUGUACAUUGAAAUAUUGAUAAAUUCCCCUCUCCUAUCAAAUCAUUAAAGAUCUAGUAAAUGACCCAGGGAUCAAACUGGGGGUCUCCUGCACUGCAGGCAGAUUCUUUACCCUCUGAGCUACCAGGGAAGCCCACGCCUGCCAGGCUCCUCUAUCUGUGGAAUUCUCCAAGCAAGAAUACUGGUGGGUAGCCAUUCCCUUCUCCAGGGGAUCUUCCCAACCCAGGGAUCAGAG